RNAcentral lists this non-coding RNA (27 nucleotides) under Homo sapiens (human). Lineage: Eukaryota; Metazoa; Chordata; Mammalia; Primates; Hominidae. The record is from RNAcentral.
UACGAAGUCUCUGAGGUGCAAGCAGUA